CCUACGGGAGGCAGCAGUGAGGAAUAUUGGUCAAUGGGCGCGAGCCUGAACCAGCCAAGUCGCGUGAAGGAUGACUGCCCUAUGGGUUGUAAACUUCUUUUAUAAAGGAAUAAAGUGAGGCACGUGUCCUGUUUUGUAUGUACCUUAUGAAUAAGGAUCGGCUACCUCCGUGCCAGCAGCCGCGGUAAUACGGAGGAUCCGAGCGUUGUCCGGAUUUAUUGGGUUUAAAGGGAGCGUAGAUGGGUUUUUAAGUCAGUUGUGAAAGUUGGGGGCUCAACCGUAAAAUUGCAGUUGAUACUGGCGGUCUUGAGUACAGGUGAGGUAGGCGGAAUUCGUGGUGUAGCGGUGAAAUGCUUAGAUAUCACGAAGAACACCGAUUGCGAAGGCAGCUUACUAAACUACCACUGACGCUGAGGCUCGAAAGUGUGGGUAUCAAACAGGAUUAGAUACCCGGGUAGUC
RNAcentral lists this ribosomal RNA (460 nucleotides) under uncultured bacterium. RNAcentral describes it as "partial 16S ribosomal RNA". It matches the Rfam family "Bacterial small subunit ribosomal RNA", at positions 338 to 795 of the family's 1533-position model. The record is from RNAcentral.